RNAcentral lists this ribosomal RNA (256 nucleotides) under uncultured bacterium. RNAcentral describes it as "partial 16S ribosomal RNA". It matches the Rfam family "Bacterial small subunit ribosomal RNA", at positions 524 to 776 of the family's 1533-position model. The record is from RNAcentral.
UACAGAGGGGGCAAGCGUUUGUUCGGAAUUACUGGGCGUAAAGCGCGUGUAGGCGGCGGCGUAAGUCGGGUGUGAAAUCCCUCAGCUCAACUGAGGAAGUGCACUCGAUACUGUGUCGCUUGAAUGUCGGAGGGGAUGGCGGAAUUCCCGGUGUGAGAGGUGAAAGUUCGUAGAUAUCGGGAGGAACACCUGUGGCGAAGGCGGCCAUCUGGACGACAUUGACGCUGAGACGCGAAAGCGUGGGUAGCAAAACAGG